CAAUGCACCUGAUGUUCAUUCAGUUGAAGAAAUUCAACAACAAGA
This 45-nucleotide small RNA is filed under the name Staphylococcus aureus. Its description in RNAcentral is "HMPRFS0000_1551". Lineage: Bacteria; Bacillati; Bacillota; Bacilli; Caryophanales; Staphylococcaceae. The record is from RNAcentral.